RNAcentral lists this ribosomal RNA (488 nucleotides) under uncultured bacterium. RNAcentral describes it as "bacterial SSU rRNA". It matches the Rfam family "Bacterial small subunit ribosomal RNA", at positions 28 to 507 of the family's 1533-position model. The record is from RNAcentral.
GAUGAACGCUAGCGGGAGGCUUAACACAUGCAAGUCGAGGGGGCAGCAUAGGGUAGCAAUACUCUGAUGGGCGACCGGCAAACGGGUGAGUAACGCGUAUGCAACCUACCCUGUACAGGGGAUAACCCGGAGAAAUUCGGACUAAUAUCCCGUAAUAAUAUCCGGAGGCAUCUUUGGAUAUUUAAAGUUCCGACGGUACGGGAUGGGCAUGCGUAACAUUAACUGGUUGGUAAGGUAACGGCUUACCAAGGCUAUGAUGUUUAGGGGUCCUGAGAGGGUGGUCCCCCACACUGGUACUGAGACACGGACCAGACUCCUACGGGAGGCAGCAGUGAGGAAUAUUGGUCAAUGGGCGCAAGCCUGAACCAGCCAUCCCGCGUGCAGGAAGACGGCCCUAUGGGUUGUAAACUGCUUUUCCAGGGAGAGAAACUUACGCACGUGUUGCGUGACUGACGGUACCCUGGGAAUAAGCAUCGGCUAACUCCGUG